GCUGCUUUCGUCUAGUGGUUAGGAUAACUCCUUUACACGGAGUAGAUCGCAGGUUCGAUCCCUGCAAGUAGCA
Non-coding RNA from Ustilago bromivora, 73 nucleotides. The record is from the annotation of a GenBank genome assembly. Lineage: Eukaryota; Fungi; Basidiomycota; Ustilaginomycetes; Ustilaginales; Ustilaginaceae.